Molecule: long non-coding RNA, 2097 nt
Organism: Saccostrea cuccullata (small rock oyster)
Lineage: Eukaryota; Metazoa; Mollusca; Bivalvia; Ostreida; Ostreidae
Exons: 4
Source: RefSeq, a predicted model, not a curated record
UUACAAUAGACCCUAUCAAGGUUAUUGGCCGCCAUCUUGGACUGGGGGCAAACAUUGGGGGCUGACGUCAUAAUAACAAUGGCUGAAUCGAGCUCCGCAGCUGACGAUGCUGCGAAUAUAAUCGCCGCGUAUAAUUUACCUGCGUCGUAACAAGUGUACCUAGGUGUGCAGAAGAGACCCCAAGAAGAGAAGAUAUCCUAGAAACACCUGAAGGCGUGUCUCAUUCUCGGAGUCAGAGUUAAAGACACAGGAUAUGACAUGGCAGGAUGCAGCUAAAGCAGCUCUGAAUCGAGUUCGUUGGAGGACUGUCAUCAAUGGCCUAUGUUCCUCAGAGAAGGACAGGCCGAAAAGAGUGCUCUUUUAACACUGCAUGGAAAUAUAAACAGUAUAUGCCUCAAGUAAAUUUUGAAGAAUCCUAAAUUCAAAUCCAGACUGUGGCAGCCCUACUUGUAGCUGUUGGACUCGUAUGGGAUAACGAUAAUCAAAAGUCACGAUAUCAACACAUGGAUUUUAUCUCAUUUUGACGAAAUGUAGAGAAAUGACAUACAGUCUGUUUUGUGAUAGAAACUAAAAUAGAGAGGGCUUUACAUUGUCCUUUAGAAUUUGCUAGGAAUUUUUUUUUAAUGAACUUUAAAUUACUGCUCAUGUACAUAUUUUUGUUGAAAGAUAAAGUGUACUUAUUUACACCAAUACAAUGAUCAGCUUCAACUAAAUAUCAAAGAUUAACAUUUGCCAUGGAUAUUUUGAUGUUACCAAUUUGACCAAGAUGUUUGCAGAAAAAUCAAAUGCAUGUUUUCUUUCAAAGUUGUUACAAUAAGAGCUAUUAAUAAAAGGAAAAAAAAACAUUUCACAUGAUAUUAAAACUUGUAUUUUUAUUACAGCUUGAAAAAAUACAUGUAAUAAUCAUGAUAAAUAAUAAAUUUGUACAUGUAUGUAAAAUUGUUUGCAAUUGAGAAUACUUGAACUCUCUUUAGCACUUGAUCCUUGGGAUGUCAUGUGCUAUAUAGGAAUGUGAUUUACCCAGCACAUUUUAAAAUUAAGCUCCUUAGAUCUAGCUGCAGGUCUGUUGAAGAAAUUUCAGGGUGAUGAAGGAAGGGGGGUUCAACUUAAAAGUAAUGUUUUGACAAGCAAAAACAAUGUUCAUAUUAAUAAUUUGGGGGACAAGGCAACUGUAUAGAUAAGAUUUUUGUAUUGUGUGAUGUGCACCGGUAUAUACUAUAGUAUUGUAUCCAUUGGAUUUUAUUACUGAGAGGUACAAAGUAACACUCCAAUCCACAUACAGUAAAACUCGGCUAUAACGAAGUCACUGGGACCCGGAAAAUUACUUUACUUUAACCAUUAUUUGUUCUUUCCGUAUAAAGAAUUUGUUAAAUUUGUGUACUUUGGGAUCCAAGAUAACUUCGCUUUAUCCGUGAAUUCGCAAUAUCCGUGUUCCAACUAAACAAGUUUUACUGUACACAUAUGGUUUCUUUCAUGUUUGCUUCCUUUCUUAACAUUAUACAGUGAUCCAUUAACGAGUGAAUCAAAGAAUCUAAUUUUACUACAUUUGUAAUUUUUUUUCAUACAUACAGUUUUUUAGGGGAGGGGAGAUUAGGAUUGUUGUACAAUGAUCAUACAGAGAGGAAAUAUAGGAAUUCCUUGUUUUCCGCUGAAAGCAAAUUUUUCACUUAUUGUCGGACUGAUUGAUGAAGAUACUAUAUUAAUUUUCUUGUUAUUUUUUUUCUUUAAUCAUAAACUUGAAGAUAGUUUGACUGUAUAUUUAAGAUGAAUAUGCUUAAAAUGAAACAAGAGGAUACCUGCUUAAAUUUUUCAUGAGGAAUAUGAGCCAGAUAUUUGGUCUACAGUACUUCUGUGAUCUUUCUCUCCAUUGAAUUAUAUAUUUCCGCAGCUGGAGAAUCACUGAGAUUUCGAAUACCAUUUAUAUAUAAUUAAUGAAAAUAAACAUAUAAAGAUGUAUAAAUUCUAUUUUUAUACCCCAUCCGAAAGAGAGGAGGAACACCGAUGACCGUUUUACUUGUGUGUCACUCAGUCAGUCUGUCUGUCCAAAACAAAUUUAUGAUUUCAGUUUUCUCAGCAACUACUCAUCAAAGAUGCUUG